GAUGAACGCUGGCGGCGUGCCUAAUACAUGCAAGUCGAGCGAACAGACGAGGAGCUUGCUCCUCUGACGUUAGCGGCGGACGGGUGAGUAACACGUGGAUAACCUACCUAUAAGACUGGGAUAACUUCGGGAAACCGGAGCUAAUACCGGAUAAUAUAUUGAACCGCAUGGUUCAAUAGUGAAAGACGGUUUUGCUGUCACUUAUAGAUGGAUCCGCGCCGCAUUAGCUAGUUGGUAAGGUAACGGCUUACCAAGGCAACGAUGCGUAGCCGACCUGAGCGGGUGAUCGGCCACACUGGAACUGAGACACGGUCCCGACUCCUACGGGAGGCAGCAGUAGGGAAUCUUCCGCAAUGGGCGAAAGCUUGACGGAGCAACGCCGCGUGAGUGAUGAAGGUCUUCGGAUCGUAAAACUCUGUUAUUAGGGAAGAACAAAUGUGUAAGUAACUAUGCACGUCUUGACGGUACCUAAUCAGAAAGCCACGGCUAACUACGUG
RNAcentral lists this ribosomal RNA (497 nucleotides) under uncultured bacterium. RNAcentral describes it as "partial 16S ribosomal RNA". It matches the Rfam family "Bacterial small subunit ribosomal RNA", at positions 28 to 507 of the family's 1533-position model. The record is from RNAcentral.